UACAGAGGUCUCAAGCGUUGUUCGGAUUCAUUGGGCGUAAAGGGUGCGUAGGUGGCAUGGUAAGUCGGAUGUGAAAUCCCGGGGCUCAACCCCGGAACUGCAUUCGAUACUGCUGCGCUAGAGUACUGGAGAGGAGAUUGGAAUUUACGGUGUAGCAGUGAAAAGCGUAGAGAUCGUAAGGAAGACCAGUGGCGAAGGCGACUUACUGGACACAUAUUGACGCUGAGGUGCGAAAGCGUGGGGAGCAAACAGG
This 253-nucleotide ribosomal RNA is filed under the name uncultured bacterium. Its description in RNAcentral is "partial 16S ribosomal RNA". It matches the Rfam family "Bacterial small subunit ribosomal RNA", at positions 524 to 776 of the family's 1533-position model. The record is from RNAcentral.